RNAcentral lists this ribosomal RNA (303 nucleotides) under uncultured bacterium. Its description in RNAcentral is "partial 16S ribosomal RNA". It matches the Rfam family "Bacterial small subunit ribosomal RNA", at positions 507 to 807 of the family's 1533-position model. The record is from RNAcentral.
AGCAGUCGCCGCGGGAAUACGGAGGGUGCGAGCGUUAUCCGGAUUCACUGGGUUUAAAGGGUGCGCAGGCGGGCGUGUAAGUCAGCGGUGAAAUCUGGGGGCUCAACCCCCAAACUGCCGUUGAUACUAUGCGCCUUGGAUGUCGUUGAGGCCAGCGGAAUGGGGCAUGUAGCGGUGAAAUGCAUAGAUAUGCCCCGGAACACCGAUUGCGAAGGCAGCUGGCUAAGCGACGAUCGACGCUGAGGCACGAAAGCGUGGGUAGCGAACAGGAUUAGAUACCCGAGUAGUCCCUGUCUCUUAUAC